Paramuricea clavata is the source of this 814-nucleotide non-coding RNA. The record is from the annotation of a GenBank genome assembly. NCBI's taxonomy places the organism in Eukaryota, Metazoa, Cnidaria, Anthozoa, Malacalcyonacea, Plexauridae.
AAAAUACAUCAAAGUUGUAAAUACUUGAAUAGUAUAUUUUCAGCCAACAAUCACUGAAUUGACAGAAUUUUCAUACAGAGCUCUGUGUACAGUAGUGUUGUCACUAUUAAGACUACUGCUUGAUUUUGUAUAUUUAUUAAAUUUGUCAUGAAGUGAUUUGUUUAUUUUUGUUUUUCUAGUGUAUUGUGUACAGUUUGACUACUUUGACAUUUGUUGAUGUUCUUGAAUUCCAAAGGAUCCUCAACUACCUAUGAUAUAGUAUUGUAUAAUAUUAGAUUUGCAACCCAUGAAAUGUAUAUUUUCUCUGUAGCUGGUACAGUUCAAUGCAGCACAAUCUGAUUGAGCAAAAGGCUCUCUGGCAGUCACCUUAUGACUGGAGGGUUGUGUUUGAGGCUAAUCCCCAGACAGCCUGUCAACGCUCCCUCUGGAGAAAACUGAGUGUUGACCAACUCUUUGGUGUCAUUGAAGUGGUGAUAAUUGAACCGCCCACAAUCUCACCCAGAAUGCCCUUGUUCUGACAAUUGCAGGACCAAAGUCGGUGGUGCAAUCAGCACACCACCAUAGCCCCAGUAGGGUGCAGUGCAACUUAAUGGGCUGGGCUAAGCUGUCAAUUUGUGCCAAUGUGCCUAGCUUGUUGAGAAGUUAAGCUGUGGGUGAGUGGGUGUAUAAAUAAAAGACCACAAGAGUAUUAAAUUGCAUAAAUAUUGCUAUAGCUCUAGAUUUCUUUGAAUGUAAAUACUAGUAGUUUGAGUUGUGUGCAAAAUAAUUAAAUGAUAAAAUUCUCAAGACUUUAGUUUAAAUGUUAUAGGGGUUG